CGGCCGUGACGCGCUUGUGCCAUAAUUAGAUAGCAAGACUACAACUCCCGGCAUUCUCCGCAAGGAGGGUGAUGUGUUUUUAUUUUGUUUUUUCUUCUAUCAAUGAGCAGACUGCGCCCGAGCAUGGAUGUUAAGCAUAACUGAAGUUUGUACUUCAGGAAAAUGGCUGCCAGCAACUGUUCUUUACGUGUGUUUGGAGCGGAGACACAGUAAACAGAAUACAUCGGUUCCGCAGCAGUCGUGCUGCAACUGAUAGCACUCAGAGCAGCGCGGUGCUAGUACCGGAGGGUAUAAGGAAGCUUUCAGGGAUGCUGCCAAUGCACGCAGAGUAUCAUUACCUAUGGGAAAUCAGCACAGGAAAAGUGAUGGCUGGAUCCACAGUGCGAACUUUUGGGAGGCUUAGCUGCUAUGAUUCUGCUCAGUCCGAGGCAACACUGACAGCACAGCACUCUGCAGUGCAGCACAAGCUCCAGUUAAAUACAAGGUUUGUGGAGCCCUUUUCUGCCCGACUAGGAUCAUAUUACCUUGCACUGGGGGAGCUGGACACUGUUGAUGAUGCGCACCUUGUGUUAUGUGCUCGCCUGCUGACCUGCAUUGAGGGUGUAGACGUCUCCCUUCUGCAGAGAGCAGUGGAAGAGCAAAUAAAAUACCUUCGAGAGAGAGAGAAAGUAACCCAAGGAAGCAACUUGCCACCAUAAAAUGGGAUAUGUUCUUCAUUUAUACAUAGGACCUCUUUCUUGAUGUGAUAUGUAGACUGAGACAUAGCUGAUAGGUGUCAGCAGGACGCCAUCCACAGGACAAAACACGCACGUGGCAACAUACAGUAUCAGAUGUCAUUUAACAGGUUGGAGACCUUGGACAGUGGUGACCCUAGGCUUCUUAGGAGCAGCAGAGACGACGGAGGCAUCCAGAGUAGAGCAGUAUCGGUCAGCCUGAGUCUCAUAAUCCUUUGCAGAAAAACAAGAUUUAUAUAAUAUUAUGAAGAGGACAACAUACAGUAUAUCGCUUAAAUAUUGCAGUAUCAACAGUCUUUCCAUUCAAAAUGUUUAUUGUAUGCUGCAGUCUACAGACAAUAUUAAAGUAGGAUUUGUGUAUAUUGUGCAAUAGUUAUAUGUAACAUUGCUUCCUCCAGUCUUUGGCCGGGUGCACAACAACGAGCAAUCGACAAAAUGGCCUGGACGAAUUCCCUUCAUCCCAGACCAAGCGAGAUUGACUGUAUAGACUGCAAUUCAUUGAACGAUAUCUUGUUCACUCCUUAAUUAAACUACACCGCAUCCAUCGCACACAAUGGGGGGGAAUUCAACUGUUUGAAAAGUCGGU
Molecule: RNA transcript, 1320 nt
Organism: Pseudophryne corroboree (corroboree frog)
Lineage: Eukaryota; Metazoa; Chordata; Amphibia; Anura; Myobatrachidae
Gene: TEN1
Gene name: TEN1 subunit of CST complex
Exons: 5
Source: RefSeq, a predicted model, not a curated record